Herpailurus yagouaroundi (jaguarundi) is the source of this 971-nucleotide long non-coding RNA. RefSeq lists it as uncharacterized. Lineage: Eukaryota; Metazoa; Chordata; Mammalia; Carnivora; Felidae. The record is from RefSeq and is a predicted model, not a curated record. The transcript has 3 exons.
ACACUGCCUCGUGGGAAGCUUCAGGAAUCUGCUGUGCAGGGGGCAGAUCUCAGCUCUGAGAGGCAGGAGUGCUGAGCUCAGGGGGCUGGAGCUGAGAGUGCGGGUCUGUUAGCUAUUGGUUGUGGGGGUUAGCCAUAAGGUGACGAGGCAUGUUUCCAGCUCAUUAAGGGCCUUGGGUGCUGGCUAAGGAAGUUUCUCCUGGCUGCUGAGCUGAUCAAGUCUGUGGGGAAGAUCUGUGGCAGCUGUGUGUGGGCUGGCAGGAAGAGGGGGAGGGACUGCAGAACAAGACUAGAGGAGAGGGCUCCAGAAGGGCAAAUCUGAUGUUCUUCUCCUCCUCCUCCCCACACACAGAAGAAUGGUCUCUGGACUCAAGACACAGACUCAAGACCUCUUCCGCUUGUGGCAGACAUGCGUGCUCUCCAUCAUUCGCUAACAAGACGUCACAGCAUCUGUCUCCCUUGUGAUUAAAAACGUGCGGGGAGCUAGAACACACAUAUGCCUCAAAUGCUUCUGUUCCAAUAAGAGAAAACUCACAGCUGGCCCUGGGCUGGGGCCAGCCCAUCCAGAUCUGAGCAUAGGAAGACAAGAGGCUUGGUCCUGAACUUCAAGAACAAGCUGAAAACACCAGCUAGCCCCCAGCUAGCUCUCCGUGGGAGUUGGCCACUGACGCCAUCGUGGAGCCCACAGAGGAGCAGUUUAAUCCCAAUACUUAAUACCACCGAUUACUGGGGAGCUGUGCUGAAGACACCUUCUCUCUUAGGCUCCAUUUCUCAUCCUAAGGGACUUAAUGAAUAUGCACCCACACUUCAUUAUGGGAAAUUUCAAAAGCCUCUGAAGAAAACGAAAGCAGAUUUUGAGUGACACCUUAUAAGAGAAUAGAGAGGAAAUACUAGCAGAAUUUUCAAUCUUGAUUUUAUAAUCCAUUUGCUGAGAUCUGGUUUUACAAGAAUAAAGAAAAGCCCCUAAGCAUA